RNAcentral lists this ribosomal RNA (223 nucleotides) under uncultured bacterium. Its description in RNAcentral is "partial 16S ribosomal RNA". It matches the Rfam family "Bacterial small subunit ribosomal RNA", at positions 264 to 504 of the family's 1533-position model. The record is from RNAcentral.
CCCACCAAGACGAUGAUCAGUAGCCGGACUGAGAGGUUGAACGGCCACAUUGGGACUGAGAUACGGCCCAGACUCCUACGGGAGGCAGCAGUCGGGAAUAUUGCGCAAUGGAGGAAACUCUGACGCAGUGACGCCGCGUGCAGGAAGAAGGUUUUCGGAUUGUAAACUCCUGUCGUUAGGGACGAUAAUGACGGUACCUAACAAGAAAGCACCGGCUAACUAC